This 443-nucleotide ribosomal RNA is filed under the name uncultured bacterium. RNAcentral's name for it is "partial 16S ribosomal RNA". It matches the Rfam family "Bacterial small subunit ribosomal RNA", at positions 338 to 795 of the family's 1533-position model. The record is from RNAcentral.
CCUACGGGAGGCAGCAGUGGGGAAUAUUGCGCAAUGGGCGCAAGCCUGAUCCAGCAACGCCGCGUGAAGGAAGAAGGGUUUCGGCUCGUAAACUUCUAUCAUCAGGGACGAAGCAAGUGACGGUACCUGAGUAAUAAGCCACGGCUAACUACGUGCCAGCAGCCGCGGUAAUACGUAGGGGGCAAGCGUUAUCCGGAUUUACUGGGUGUAAAGGGUGAGUAGGCGGCAUGGUAAGUCAGAUGUGAAAGCCAUGGGCUUAACCCGUGGAUUGCAUUUGAAACUGUGUAGCUUGAGUACAGGAGAGGCAGGCGGAAUUCCUAGUGUAGCGGUGAAAUGCGUAGAUAUUAGGAAGAACACCAGUGGCGAAGGCGGUUUUCUGGACUGAAACUGACGCUGAGGCACGAAAGCGUGGGGAGCGAACAGGAUUAGAUACCCCUGUAGUC